AAAUUGAAGAGUUUGAUCAUGGCUCAGAUUGAACGCUGGCGGCAGGCCUAACACAUGCAAGUCGAACGGUAACAGGAAGAAGCUUGCUUCUUUGCUGACGAGUGGCGGACGGGUGAGUAAUGUCUGGGAAACUGCCUGAUGGAGGGGGAUAACUACUGGAAACGGUAGCUAAUACCGCAUAAUGUCGCAAGACCAAAGAGGGGGAUCUUCGGGCCUCUUGCCAUCGGAUGUGCCCAGAUGGGAUUAGCUUGUUGGUGGGGUAACGGCUCACC
RNAcentral lists this ribosomal RNA (272 nucleotides) under Escherichia coli. Its description in RNAcentral is "partial 16S ribosomal RNA". It matches the Rfam family "Bacterial small subunit ribosomal RNA", at positions 1 to 269 of the family's 1533-position model. Lineage: Bacteria; Pseudomonadati; Pseudomonadota; Gammaproteobacteria; Enterobacterales; Enterobacteriaceae. The record is from RNAcentral.